Molecule: long non-coding RNA, 642 nt
Filed under: Marmota monax (woodchuck)
Lineage: Eukaryota; Metazoa; Chordata; Mammalia; Rodentia; Sciuridae
Source: RNAcentral
UUCUCCACCCCAGCGUGCGGAGGGUGGCAGCGGCCCUGAUCCGUCCUACUCCGCCAGUCACCUAGGUGCCGAUUCCCCAGCGGGUCUGCUGGGGUGAGGUUCUGCAAGCCUGUGACUUGUCAGGAGGAUAAGGAGCUCUCCUAAAACGUUGACCCCCUAGCACGAUGCCUGGCACAUAAUAGGCAUUCAAUUUCCAUUUGUUGAACGAAUUCGAUGAAAUAAUGAAUGAAUUAAGGAUAACGGGCGAGAGAAGGGAAGGUUGGCGCAGUGUGACUGCAAUCCCCUCCCGGGAACCCAUUCUCAGGGAAACUGCUUCUUUAAGUGAGGUGCCAGGCGUAGGAUAUCCCUAGGACAGCUUCUCCCGUAGGGUACUAAAAAGUUGGGAGCGCAGCCAGAGGAGACCAAAGGGGGCGUAUUGGCUGGCCCCCCUAGGCGUGCCGUAGCCGGUUUCGGGCUCAGCGAGACAGCGGAGGCGGAGAUAGGACCCGGCUACGGGUCUCUGGACACACCAGCGGCUAGUGAGCUCGCGUACUGUGGGGAGGGGCAGCAGAGGCGCGGCGCCUUUAAGCCGGGCACCGGCCUCGCGGCCCCGCCUUCCGGAGGACGCCAGGGCGCGCGGCCGCCGGAGUCGCUGUUUAAUUG